UGUCACCCUGCAGGUGCCCGGGUAUGGGCGGAGCCACUGCCUGCUCCUGACAGAGCCAAGGCUCACCUGCCGCCUAGUCCGGCCAGAGUCUAUAAAACACCUCUCAGACACCCACUCUUCAACCACCCUAAACCUCCAGCACUAACUCAUCCACUUCUGGAUCUGACAGGGUUACUUGAACUUCCACUUAGAUGUCCUGCCAGCAAGACCAGCGGCUGUGCCAGCCUCCUCUGAAAGGGCUCACGACUGAGUGCCCCCCAAAGUGUCCCCCUAAGAGUCCUCCCAAGACACCCUGCUCCAGUUUCUUCCUGGUGAGGCCCUAGCCCCAGGGCCUUGUGGCCUCAGGAGUCCAAGGCAUCAGAGCUCCAGCUGUUAUCCCCACUUUUGGCUGCUUUCUACCUGGGCUCUGAGCAUCAGUUGAGGGACCAAAAGGCCAACAAGAACCAGCAUGUCUUGUGCUUCUUGUCUCCCAGCCCUUUUUUAUCCCGCUGAGUGUCAACUGCAGGACAUGAGCAUGCUGGAGCUAUGCCUUGGGAAUAGCCAUUGGCACAACUUUGGGACUGGGCUCAAGACUUGCAUCCUGAUACUUGGAUGUGAUUGCUCUGAAUGAGCUACUUUGCUACAAUAAAUAUCUUUAAAACGCC
This is a long non-coding RNA of Manis pentadactyla (Chinese pangolin), 644 nucleotides long. RefSeq lists it as uncharacterized. The record is from RefSeq and is a predicted model, not a curated record. The transcript is spliced from 2 exons. NCBI's taxonomy places the organism in Eukaryota, Metazoa, Chordata, Mammalia, Pholidota, Manidae.